Molecule: ribosomal RNA, 292 nt
Filed under: uncultured bacterium
Lineage: Bacteria
Description: partial 16S ribosomal RNA
Rfam family: Bacterial small subunit ribosomal RNA
Source: RNAcentral
GUGUCAGCAGCCGCGGUAAGACAGAGGUGGCGAGCGUUGUUCGGAAUCAUUGGGCUUAAAGCGUGUGCAGGCGGCGGCGUAAGUGUCGAGUGAAAGCCCGCAGCUCAACUGCGGAACGGCUCGGCAUACUGCGUCGCUUGAGGUCGGUAGAGGUGCUUGGAACUCUAGGUGGAGCGGUGAAAUGCGUAGAUAUCUAGAGGAACGCCUGAGGCGAAAGCGGAGCACUGGGCCGAUUCUGACGCUGAGACACGAAAGCGUGGGGAGCAAACAGGAUUAGAAACCCUUGUAGUCC